AGUAUCAUACCUGUUUAUUUCUAUUUUAUAUAAGAUGUCGACACACCAUCCUCCAUUAAAUAAAAAUUAAAUGAAAUUAAAUCACAUUUUAUUUGUAUGCCACAUUUAACAAUGGGCAUUGUGUCAAAGCAGCUUUGUAGAACAUAAGAAAUAUAGUACAAAAAGUUAAAGAUUAAUAUCAGACAUAUACUUAAAUUUAUUUGUAUCAAUCCCUAAUCCCUAAUGAUCGAGCCUGAGGUGACUGUGGCAAGGAAAAAUUCCCUUAGAUGGUAAGAGCAAGAAAUAUUGAGAGGAACCAAACUCAAAGGGGAUCCAUCCUCAUUUGGGUGACACCAGAGAGUGUGAUUAUAAAUUAUUACAAAAAACAGGAGAGUGUGAUUAUCAGUAAUGACCUUUGAGUCAUAUACAGUGAGUUAUAGUUGACUAGUAACCAGGAGCUCCUGAGCAACUCAAAUUAGCUCAGCAUCUGAGUUCAUUAUUGAAUCAACACCAACUCCUCCAAGCUGAAGCCUUCAAAUGCUCAAUGAUAGAGAUACAGCAUAUGUAGAAUGUUAUUUUGUUUAUUGAUUAGAAGGUUGUUGUCCUCAAAGUCCACAUGGGGUUGGCAUCUUUUCUUUGAAAGUCUGAAAUCUUCAUGAAGCAGAAUCCAACUGGAUCUGGUACAAUCUCUAGAUGCCUUGGGAUGGGUAGAAAAAGAGAAGCAAGUGGAGAGGAUUUAGUGUAGCUUCUGUUUAAAGAGAAAUGUCUUUAAUCUACAUUUAAACUGGGAGACUGUGUCUGAGCCUGGAACAGUGUCAGGAAGACUAUUCCAAAUUUAAGAGCUAAAUACGACAAUGCUUUACCCCCUUAGUGGACUUUGAUAUUCAGGGAACUACCAGAAGGAGUUUGGUGAUCUCAAAGAGCGUGGUGGAUUGUAACACGUUAGACGACUGGAGAGAUAGGUGGGAGCUAAACCAUUUAGAGCCUUGUACGUAAGUAGAGCUAAUUUAUAAUCAAUUCUAAAUUUAUCAGGUAGCCAGUGCAGGGAUGACAAUAUUGGGGUUAUAUGAUCAUAUUUUCUUAAUCUGGUAAGAAAUCUGGCGGCUGCAUUCUGGACUAACUGUAGCUUGUUUACUGAAGAUGCAGGACAAACACCUAGUAAUGCAUUACAGUAGUCCAGUCUGGAGGUCAGGAAUGCAUGAACUAGUUAUUCUGCAUCAGAUACAGAUAAAAUGUUCCUAGGCAAUAUUUCUAAAGUGGAAGAAGGCUGUUUUUGUGAUAUGGGCGAUAUGAGUUUCAAAAGACAAUUUACAUCUGGAACUCCACCCAGUGUUUCAAAAUGCAGUAAUAAAACAGGCAGGAAUUUGGCUUCAUUCCACUGUCUCUAACAAAACUGUCCUUAGUGAAAACCUCUCCCUAUUAAUAAAUCAUUCAAUAUUUGUACAAUGUGAAAAUUGAUUCAUUGUGUGCAUUUUCAUCAUUCAGGAGUCGUCAUUUCAGGUGAAGACGAUCGGAUUAUUUCCUUAACAGUCUCCAAUAUAAUCUCUGUUAUUGUAAUCACAGUUCUGGUUGGAGUUUUAUAUAAAAAUCACAGAAAAGAUUCUUCAUCAAGCAACCAUCAAAUUCCCACCAAUCAGGCUGCUGAUGAUGAAGAUGUCUUGAACUAUGCAGCUGUCAUGUAUUGGUGAGAUAAACAGUUUUGUUUCAUUUUCGUGAACUGCUGACAAUAUUUCUCCUAAAUUCAAAAUAUAACAAUUGUUAUUUAGAGUGUAUAUUUAAAGGAAACGACAUCACAUAAUAACCCAAGAUCAUGCAGUAUUUGCAAAGCUUUAAUAACUCAAAUAAAACAAAAUGCUAAUAAUUUGCAAACAAAUUGUGUUAAUGCUUUGGCUAAAUAACAUUAAGAGAUCAGUAUUUGGUGGAAUAACCCCAUUUUGGCUCCUUGCUCUCCACCAGUUUUUUUUUUUUUUAGAUUAGAUCAGUCCACAGGUUCAAAACAUCCAAUCAGGUGUGAGUCUGGACCUGGUUUUCUACUGAACACACAAGUUCAUUCCCUCACUAUCACUUCGUCUGAACAGGAACGAUGACCACACUCUUUGUCGCUCUUUGUGUUCUUUUUUCUCUCUUCACAGCUGGUGAGUAACAUUCUGAAAACUUUAACUUCAAUUAAUUCAAUAUGAAAUAUUACUGUAUUAUCAUUAAAUAUUAAACACUUUUUACAGUAAAUUCUUCUGACAUCAAGGAGCUUCAUGUGAGAACAGUAAAGAGUGGAGAAGAUGUAACUAUGGAGUGUAACAUUAGCAGUGUCACAGGGAAAGAUAAAGUAGUUUGGUUCAGACAGAGUUCAGGAAAAUUGCCUCAGUAUUUUGCAAGACCAUACUCGGGCUCUGUGGGCUACAAAUUUGUUGGGGGAUUUAAUGAUAGUCGCUUCAGUAUUAGUGUAAAUGACCAAAAAUUUGAUCUCAAUAUUAACAAAAUAAGAGAAGAUGAUGUAGGAGAAUAUUUCUGUGGAGAAAUGGAAGGAAGUGUACUGAAGUUCACAUCUGGAACACAUCUGCAAUUUGAAGGUAAACAGUUUGACUUUGAAAACCUGCUAAUUCCAGAUCAACACUUUAAAUAUGUUAUACAAUUAAAUAUUUCACAUAUUCACAUUAUUCAUAUUUAGUAUCAUACCUGUUUAUUUCUAUUUUAUAUAAGAUGUCGACACACCAUCCUCCAUUAAAUAAAAAUUAAAUGAAAUUAAAUCACAUUUUAUUUGUAUGCCACAUUUAACAAUGGGCAUUGUGUCAAAGCAGCUUUGUAGAACAUAAGAAAUAUAGUACAAAAAGUUAAAGAUUAAUAUCAGACAUAUACUUAAAUUUAUUUGUAUCAAUCCCUAAUCCCUAAUGAUCGAGCCUGAGGUGACUGUGGCAAGGAAAAAUUCCCUUAGAUGGUAAGAGCAAGAAAUAUUGAGAGGAACCAAACUCAAAGGGGAUCCAUCCUCAUUUGGGUGACACCAGAGAGUGUGAUUAUAAAUUAUUAUAAACACAGGAGAGUGUGAUUAUCAGUAAUGACCUUUGAGUCAUAUACAGUGAGUUAUAGUUGACUAGUAACCAGGAGCUCCUGAGCAACUCAAAUUAGCUCAGCAUCUGAGUUCAUUAUUGAAUCAACACCAACUCCUCCAAGCUGAAGCCUUCAAAUGCUCAAUGAUAGAGAUACAGCAUAUGUAGAAUGUUAUUUUGUUUAUUGAUUAGAAGGUUGUUGUCCUCAAAGUCCACAUGGGGUUGGCAUCUUUUCUUUGAAAGUCUGAAAUCUUCAUGAAGCAGAAUCCAACUGGAUCUGGUACAAUCUCUAGAUGCCUUGGGAUGGGUAGAAAAAGAGAAGCAAGUGGAGAGGAUUUAGUGUAGCUUCUGUUUAAAGAGAAAUGUCUUUAAUCUACAUUUAAACUGGGAGACUGUGUCUGAGCCUGGAACAGUGUCAGGAAGACUAUUCCAAAUUUAAGAGCUAAAUACGACAAUGCUUUACCCCCUUAGUGGACUUUGAUAUUCAGGGAACUACCAGAAGGAGUUUGGUGAUCUCAAAGAGCGUGGUGGAUUGUAACACGUUAGACGACUGGAGAGAUAGGUGGGAGCUAAACCAUUUAGAGCCUUGUACGAGUCGUCAUUUCAGGUGAAGACGAUCGGAUUAUUUCCUUAACAGUCUCCAAUAUAAUCUCUGUUAUUGUAAUCACAGUUCUGGUUGGAGUUUUAUAUAAAAAUCACAGAAAAGAUUCUUCAUCAAGCAACCAUCAAAUUCCCACCAAUCAGGCUGCUGAUGAUGAAGAUGUCUUGAACUAUGCAGCUGUGAGUUUUGCUAAGAAACCUUCAUCCUCCAGAACAUUCAGAGAAAAGAUCUAUGAUGUUUAUGCACAAGUUAAAAUUAAAUAGAGAAAGAAACUUCUGAUUUAAAUCAUCAGACACUGGAGAUUUAUUGCUGUAAGUCACAUUUUAUUUGGUCAUGCUUGAUAGGGGGAAAAGAGGAGAGGGGGAUUACUUUUUGCCAAAAAUCCAAAAAUUCAAUAUUGUUACAUUUUCUCAACAUACUUAUUCUAAUUACUAUUUUUUAUCAUUGUCCUAUUAAAUAAAUAACAAAAACAAUUUGUUUAUGAAAGGAAAUCUCUGGAGGUUAGAGUAAAUUAUAUGUAUAUAAAGUAUAUUAAAAAGUUCAUAAAUAAAUUGAAUGUUUACUGUGUUUACUAUAUAACUUAAAAUAAACUAAACUACCUGAAAUAAAUUCGAGUUGAAGUCUCAGGUUGCUUCUGUUAUUGUUUCUAAAGCAACAACUUCACAGAGAUGUCUUACACUGGUCACUCCACAUAACCAAAGCCUACAAAGAAAGGUGUUAUUUAGAGACGUUGCUAGGUUACAGAGUGCUGGUUGUUCUUGUGGUCCAUCAGUGUUUUAAUUCUGUUCCACAUGAGCUGUUGUUCCCAAAGUUCUCAUAUUUUUUGCAUCCUUAAUGUUUUUCUUGAGGUUCCCUUUAGCUUUCCUCUAGCUGUAGGUCUGUUUAUCAGCCACCUGAAUGUGACAUCUCCUUCCUUAAACAGAUUCUGCAUUCUGUUUAGACGUGACUUCUGCUUAGGAAAAUGACAACAAUUCCAGUGUGGAAGGUCAGGUAUCCCAGGAUUCCCUGUGAAACCAAAUCCAGUCAGUGUAUCAGUCUUGCAGCAUUGAGGUGACAUCCAAAGGUCCUACAGAUCAAUGGUAUUUCCACCAGGAUCAGUUUUAGGGAAAUAUAGUCUGAUAGUUUGUGUGAAUUUGGUCCAGAGUGUUAAACUUCAUUUGAAGUUGAAAUCUCUGCUCCUUCUAUAGUCCCCAGUCUUGUCCACUCUGUGGACAGCAUGAUCAGAUGACUCGAUUUGCAGCAUUAGGAAUAAAGUAAUUCAGCCCAGUGAAUGGUGAAUUUGUACAGUGCUGUGAAAAGUUUUUUCCCCUUACUUUUUUUUUUGCAUAUUUGUCACACUUAAAAAAUUCAGAUCAUCAAACAAAUGUUAAUAUUACACAACGGUAAUGCAACAAAUACAAAAUGCAGUUUUUAAAUGAUUAUUUCAUUUAUCAAGGGAAAAAAAUCUGUCCAAACCUGCCUGGCCCUACAUGAAAAAUUAAUUGCCCCCUCCUAUUAAAUCAUGAAAGAACUGUGAUUAACCACAUUAUUUUAGAAAGCUGAGUUAAAUUUAACUAGACACACCCAGACCUGAUUACUGCCACACCUGUGGAAUCAAGAAAUCUCUUCAACAGAACCUGUGUGACAAAGUGAAGCAUGCGAAAGAGAAACACAUCAUGCUGUGAUCUAAACAAAUUCAAGAACAGAGAAACAAAAUAGUUGACAUGUAUCAGUCUAGAAAGGGUUAUAAAGCCAUUUCUAAGGCUCUGGGACUCCAGUGAACUGCGGUCAGAGCCAUUAUCCACUA
RNA transcript from Hemibagrus wyckioides, 5407 nucleotides. RefSeq lists it as uncharacterized. The transcript is spliced from 7 exons. The record is from RefSeq and is a predicted model, not a curated record. NCBI's taxonomy places the organism in Eukaryota, Metazoa, Chordata, Actinopteri, Siluriformes, Bagridae.